Molecule: ribosomal RNA, 464 nt
Filed under: Vreelandella stevensii
Lineage: Bacteria; Pseudomonadati; Pseudomonadota; Gammaproteobacteria; Oceanospirillales; Halomonadaceae
Description: partial 16S ribosomal RNA
Rfam family: Bacterial small subunit ribosomal RNA
Source: RNAcentral
CCUAGGGUGGCAGCAGUGGGGAAUAUUGGACAAUGGGGGGAACCCUGAUCCAGCCAUGCCGCGUGUGUGAAGAAGGCCCUCGGGUUGUAAAGCACUUUCAGUGAGGAAGAACGCCUGGUGGUUAAUACCCAUCAGGAAAGACAUCACUCACAGAAGAAGCACCGGCUAACUCCGUGCCAGCAGCCGCGGUAAUACGGAGGGUGCGAGCGUUAAUCGGAAUUACUGGGCGUAAAGCGCGCGUAGGUGGCUUGAUAAGCCGGUUGUGAAAGCCCCGGGCUCAACCUGGGAACGGCAUCCGGAACUGUCAAGCUAGAGUGCAGGAGAGGAAGGUAGAAUUCCCGGUGUAGCGGUGAAAUGCGUAGAGAUCGGGAGGAAUACCAGUGGCGAAGGCGGCCUUCUGGACUGACACUGACACUGAGGUGCGAAAGCGUGGGUAGCAAACAGGAUUAGAUACCCCAGUAGUC